RNAcentral lists this transfer RNA (77 nucleotides) under Puniceicoccales bacterium. RNAcentral's name for it is "tRNA-Met". It matches the Rfam family "tRNA". Rfam says of the family: Transfer RNA (tRNA) molecules are approximately 80 nucleotides in length. Their secondary structure includes four short double-helical elements and three loops (D, anti-codon, and T loops). Further hydrogen bonds mediate the characteristic L-shaped molecular structure. tRNAs have two regions of fundamental functional importance: the anti-codon, which is responsible for specific mRNA codon recognition, and the 3' end, to which the tRNAs corresponding amino acid is attached (by aminoacyl-tRNA synthetases). tRNAs cope with the degeneracy of the genetic code in two manners: having more than one tRNA (with a specific anti-codon) for a particular amino acid; and 'wobble' base-pairing, i.e. permitting non-standard base-pairing at the 3rd anti-codon position. Lineage: Bacteria; Pseudomonadati; Verrucomicrobiota; Opitutia; Puniceicoccales. The record is from RNAcentral.
CGCAGGGUGGAGCAGUCUGGUAGCUUGUCAGGCUCAUAACCUGAAGGUCGUUGGUUCAAAUCCAACCCCUGCACCCA